Molecule: ribosomal RNA, 2414 nt
Filed under: Staphylococcus aureus
Lineage: Bacteria; Bacillati; Bacillota; Bacilli; Caryophanales; Staphylococcaceae
Also listed under: 1 other name
Description: partial 23S ribosomal RNA
Rfam family: Bacterial large subunit ribosomal RNA
Source: RNAcentral
UGAGGGAAAGGUGAAAAGCACCCCGGAAGGGGAGUGAAAUAGAACCUGAAACCGUGUGCUUACAAGUAGUCAGAGCCCGUUAAUGGGUGAUGGCGUGCCUUUUGUAGAAUGAACCGGCGAGUUACGAUUUGAUGCAAGGUUAAGCAGUAAAUGUGGAGCCGUAGCGAAAGCGAGUCUGAAUAGGGCGUUUAGUAUUUGGUCGUAGACCCGAAACCAGGUGAUCUACCCUUGGUCAGGUUGAAGUUCAGGUAACACUGAAUGGAGGACCGAACCGACUUACGUUGAAAAGUGAGCGGAUGAACUGAGGGUAGCGGAGAAAUUCCAAUCGAACCUGGAGAUAGCUGGUUCUCUCCGAAAUAGCUUUAGGGCUAGCCUCAAGUGAUGAUUAUUGGAGGUAGAGCACUGUUUGGACGAGGGGCCCCUCUCGGGUUACCGAAUUCAGACAAACUCCGAAUGCCAAUUAAUUUAACUUGGGAGUCAGAACAUGGGUGAUAAGGUCCGUGUUCGAAAGGGAAACAGCCCAGACCACCAGCUAAGGUCCCAAAAUAUAUGUUAAGUGGAAAAGGAUGUGGCGUUGCCCAGACAACUAGGAUGUUGGCUUAGAAGCAGCCAUCAUUUAAAGAGUGCGUAAUAGCUCACUAGUCGAGUGACACUGCGCCGAAAAUGUACCGGGGCUAAACAUAUUACCGAAGCUGUGGAUUGUCCUUUGGACAAUGGUAGGAGAGCGUUCUAAGGGCGUUGAAGCAUGAUCGUAAGGACAUGUGGAGCGCUUAGAAGUGAGAAUGCCGGUGUGAGUAGCGAAAGACGGGUGAGAAUCCCGUCCACCGAUUGACUAAGGUUUCCAGAGGAAGGCUCGUCCGCUCUGGGUUAGUCGGGUCCUAAGCUGAGGCCGACAGGCGUAGGCGAUGGAUAACAGGUUGAUAUUCCUGUACCACCUAUAAUCGUUUUAAUCGAUGGGGGGACGCAGUAGGAUAGGCGAAGCGUGCGAUUGGAUUGCACGUCUAAGCAGUAAGGCUGAGUAUUAGGCAAAUCCGGUACUCGUUAAGGCUGAGCUGUGAUGGGGAGAAGACAUUGAGUCUUCGAGUCGUUGAUUUCACACUGCCGAGAAAAGCCUCUAGAUAGAAAAUAGGUGCCCGUACCGCAAACCGACACAGGUAGUCAAGAUGAGAAUUCUAAGGUGAGCGAGCGAACUCUCGUUAAGGAACUCGGCAAAAUGACCCCGUAACUUCGGGAGAAGGGGUGCUCUUUAGGGUUAACGCCCAGAAGAGCCGCAGUGAAUAGGCCCAAGCGACUGUUUAUCAAAAACACAGGUCUCUGCUAAACCGUAAGGUGAUGUAUAGGGGCUGACGCCUGCCCGGUGCUGGAAGGUUAAGAGGAGUGGUUAGCUUCUGCGAAGCUACGAAUCGAAGCCCCAGUAAACGGCGGCCGUAACUAUAACGGUCCUAAGGUAGCGAAAUUCCUUGUCGGGUAAGUUCCGACCCGCACGAAAGGCGUAACGAUUUGGGCACUGUCUCAACGAGAGACUCGGUGAAAUCAUAGUACCUGUGAAGAUGCAGGUUACCCGCGACAGGACGGAAAGACCCCGUGGAGCUUUACUGUAGCCUGAUAUUGAAAUUCGGCACAGCUUGUACAGGAUAGGUAGGAGCCUUUGAAACGUGAGCGCUAGCUUACGUGGAGGCGCUGGUGGGAUACUACCCUAGCUGUGUUGGCUUUCUAACCCGCACCACUUAUCGUGGUGGGAGACAGUGUCAGGCGGGCAGUUUGACUGGGGCGGUCGCCUCCUAAAAGGUAACGGAGGCGCUCAAAGGUUCCCUCAGAAUGGUUGGAAAUCAUUCAUAGAGUGUAAAGGCAUAAGGGAGCUUGACUGCGAGACCUACAAGUCGAGCAGGGUCGAAAGACGGACUUAGUGAUCCGGUGGUUCCGCAUGGAAGGGCCAUCGCUCAACGGAUAAAAGCUACCCCGGGGAUAACAGGCUUAUCUCCCCCAAGAGUUCACAUCGACGGGGAGGUUUGGCACCUCGAUGUCGGCUCAUCGCAUCCUGGGGCUGUAGUCGGUCCCAAGGGUUGGGCUGUUCGCCCAUUAAAGCGGUACGCGAGCUGGGUUCAGAACGUCGUGAGACAGUUCGGUCCCUAUCCGUCGUGGGCGUAGGAAAUUUGAGAGGAGCUGUCCUUAGUACGAGAGGACCGGGAUGGACAUACCUCUGGUGUACCAGUUGUCGUGCCAACGGCAUAGCUGGGUAGCUAUGUGUGGACGGGAUAAGUGCUGAAAGCAUCUAAGCAUGAAGCCCCCCUCAAGAUGAGAUUUCCCAACUUCGGUUAUAAGAUCCCUCAAAGAUGAUGAGGUUAAUAGGUUCGAGGUGGAAGCAUGGUGACAUGUGGAGCUGACGAAUACUAAUCGAUCGAAGACUUAAUCAA